This 496-nucleotide ribosomal RNA is filed under the name uncultured Cenococcum. Its description in RNAcentral is "eukaryotic LSU rRNA". The stretch from base 133 to 286 matches the Rfam family "5.8S ribosomal RNA". The record is from RNAcentral. Lineage: Eukaryota; Fungi; Ascomycota; Dothideomycetes; Gloniales; Gloniaceae.
AAACGCGGAUCAAACCGCGAACUUCUAAACCUUUGACGAUUGACUCAUGUUGCCUCGGCGGGUGCUCCCGCCAGAGGAUACAUCAAAACUCCUGUUUUAACGGUGUUGUCUGAGCUACAAGCAACGAAUCAAAACUUUCAACAACGGAUCUCUUGGUUCUGGCAUCGAUGAAGAACGCAGCGAAAUGCGAUAAGUAGUGUGAAUUGCAGAAUUCAGUGAAUCAUCGAAUCUUUGAACGCACAUUGCGCCCCUUGGUAUCCCGAGGGGCAUGCCUGUUCGAGCGUCAUUUCACCACUCAAGCCUGGCUUGGUGUUAGGCGACGUCCCCUUUGGGGACGCGCCUCGAAACGCUCGGCGGCGUGGCACCGGCUUUAAGCGUANCAGAAUCUUUCGCUUUGAAAGUCGGGGCCCCGUCUGCCGGAAGACCUACUCGCAAGGUUGACCUCGGAUCAGGCAGGGAUACCCGCUGAACUUAANCAUAUCAAUAAGCGGAGGAA